CGCUCACCCCGCACGUCAUCAAUCACUAUCAAGAAUCCAACUCCCUCGUCAAAGAGUAUUCACUAAUCCCGUCGCAAGUUUGCGAGCAAGAAAAGAUCGAUUUCGUGCAGAAGAAAUCCACCGACGCGGUCAUGAUCAAGUUGAAAACCGAACUCUACCAACAAGUGCUCGAUUUUCAAAAGGCGAAAAUCGGAACCGAAACCCUCUCCGAGCUAAUGUCGAUGAAAUCCAAGUGGGAUAAUACGAAUAACAAGAUUCCGAAAGUCACCGUAAUUCUAAACCAUUUCAAGAGAAAGACACUAUGCGCCCAAAUCGACUCCCUACUCCACCAAACGCUCCCUUUCCACCACGUUUGGGUACUUUCGUUCGGAAGCCCGAACGAGCAAUCUCUAAAGAGAAUAGUCGAGAGCUACAACAACUCCAAAAUAAGUUUCAUAAGCUCGAGCUACGAUUUCAAGUACUACGGUAGAUUCCAAAUGGCGCUACAGACGGAAGCGGAUCUUGUCUACAUCCUAGACGACGACAUGAUACCCGGUACGAAGAUGCUGCAGGUCUUGUCACACGUGGCGGGUACGGAAAAGUACAAGAACUCCGUACUAGGUAGCAUCGGAAGGAUUUUGCCCUUCCGACAGAAGGACUUCACUUUCCCGAGCUAUAGAAAGUUCCGUUCGAAGGAGGCUGGCCUUUAUUUGCCCGACCCUGCUUACGACAUCACCCUUGACCGAGUCGUGCAGGUUGACUUUUUAUCGAGCUCUUGGUUUCUCUCCGCCGAGCUAGUGAAGACCCUCUUCAUCGAGACGCCUUUCACUUUCAUGACAGGGGAAGAUCUGCACUUGAGUUAUCAGCUACAAAAGUAUAGAAAUGCGGGUUCGUUCGUUUUGCCUGUGGAUCCGAAGGAUAAAGAGACAUGGGGAGACAGCGAGCAUAGAUUGGCUUACGUGGCAGAAACAACUGUGAUCUUUAAGGAUAUUGUCCAAGUACGAGACGAUCAAUGGUGGAAAGCGCUCUCCAACGGGUAUAUAACUCAGUGGGCCGCUAUGAACCCUCAAAAGAUCGACGCCCUUUUCUACGCGCACUCCAUUGAAGAGGUAAAGACCCUUUCUCCCCUCCUCGAAAAAUUCCGAACUACCGUGGGGAAGAAGGCCUACAUAGUCGUCUCGGGCGGGGGUUUCUGCCCCUGCGAGGAGGCGGCGGUGGCUUUGAAGUGGCCUAAGUCGGUGUGCAAGGAGAGACGGUUCAAGAUUUUCGAUCUCGGGAUUGGUGCGAUAUCCACUGCGGUUUCCGACUCGGAGGUUCCCGUUUUUCAAGGUGUGUAUGCUAGCAUGAAAGGGUUGAUCAAGAUUCAUAAUCCGAGUGUGGUUAUUGCGGUUUCUGAUAUCGAAACGAAUGUCAAGAAGGCGUUGAAAAUGGCUGCUGAAACGAAUUUGAACGGCUCGACUUUGGUGCUUUUGCCGAGAUCUACGGUGCCGAAGGCACUUUGGAUGGCCGAUCUUCGACCGACGGCGUUGCCUAAUUGGAAUCGAAUGAGGCUAUCAAUAAAGCAUCAUCACGCAAAACCGCGUCAAUUCCCUCACGCGCCUCCUAAAGUCCCUAUCAAACGCCUACUACUUGGGCGACGAGGUGGCGAUCACCUUCAACAUGGACAGCAAAGUCGACGAGGCCACACUAAAGCUCGCAAACUCGUUCGAGUGGGCCCACGGCCCGAAGAUCCUCCGCCGCAGGAUCAUCCAGGGCGGAUUGAUCCGUGCCGUAAGCGAGAGCUGGUACCCUUCGUCGGACGACAACUUCGGCCUCUUACUCGAGGACGAUAUCGAAGUCUCCCCAUACUACUACCUAUGGAUAAAGAACGCUCUUUUAUCCUACCACUACGAUCCACAAGUACAAUUACCUGAAUUAGCCUCGAUUUCUCUGUACACGCCGCGUUUGGUUGAGGUAGUGAAGGAGAGGCCGAAGUGGAAUGCGACGGAGUUCUUCAAAGGGAUACACCCAAACACGCCCUAUCUGCACCAAUUGCCCUGUAGCUGGGGCGCCGUGUUCUUCCCCAAACAAUGGAGGGAAUUCUACGUGUAUAUGAACACUAGGUUUACGGAGGAUGCGAAGCAGAAUCCAGUGCAGAUUCCGAAAUCGAGGACGAACGGGUGGCAGGCUUCGUGGAAGAAGUUUCUGAUUGAUAUGAUGUAUUUGAGGGGUUACGUGAGUUUGUACCCUAAUUUCCCAAAUCAGGCGAGCUUUUCGACGAAUCAUAUGGAGCCCGGCGCGCACAUUAGCGCCAAGGACAAUGUCGUGAAGCACGAUAAAUCGGAUUUCGAGGUGCCGCUGUUGGCGAGGGAUUUUAGGGAUUUGUUGCCGAAUGGGAAAUUGCCGCCGGUGGGGAAGCUGCCGGCGUUGAAUUUGUUCAAUCAGGCGGUGUCGUUGAAGGGGUUGAAGGCUGCCGGAGCUAAGCUAGGGCAGGAUGUACUGGAGUGCGGCGCGGCGGAGGUGGUGGUGGUGGAUCGGGAAACGGGUUUGGCUUCCCAUUGCGCCAAGUUCUGAUUGGUUGAUUUUGAGCUGCUUGUUUUUUUUUUAUUAUUAAAUUAUUGUUUAUUUUUAGCUGU
Molecule: non-coding RNA, 2594 nt
Organism: Erythranthe guttata (spotted monkey flower)
Lineage: Eukaryota; Viridiplantae; Streptophyta; Magnoliopsida; Lamiales; Phrymaceae
Source: RefSeq, a predicted model, not a curated record